Molecule: ribosomal RNA, 636 nt
Filed under: Nebria crassicornis
Lineage: Eukaryota; Metazoa; Arthropoda; Insecta; Coleoptera; Carabidae
Description: partial 16S ribosomal RNA
Rfam family: Bacterial large subunit ribosomal RNA (bases 393-552)
Source: RNAcentral
CAUGUCCUUUAGAAUUUAAUUUAAGGUCUAGCCUGCCCACUGAAAUUUAUUUUAAAUGGCCGCAGUAAUUUGACUGUGCAAAGGUAGCAUAAUCAUUAGUUUUUUAAUUGAAAGCUUGUAUGAAAGGUUGGACGAGGUAAAAUCUGUCUCUAAUUAAUUUAAUUUAGAAUUUAACUUUUAAGUCAAAAGGCUUAAAUAUAAUUAAAAGACGAGAAGACCCUAUAGAUCUUUAUAAUUUAUUUAUUAAAUUUAAUCAGGAAUUUUUUAAAUUUUAUUAAUUUAAUUAUUUUAUUGGGGUAAUAUAAAGAUUAAAUUAAUUCUUUUUUUUUAUUAACAUUAAUUUAUGAUUUUAUGAUCCAAUUUUAUUGGUUAUAAGAUUAAGUUACCUUAGGGAUAACAGCGUUAUUUUUUUAGAGAGUUCUUAUCGAUAAAAAAGUUUACGACCUCGAUGUUGGAUUAAAGAUUAUUUCAGGUGCAGAAGUUUGAAAAUUUUGGUCUGUUCGACCAUUAAAUCUUUACAUGAUCUGAGUUCAGACCGGUGUAAGCCAGGUCGGUUUCUAUCUUUAAUAAAUUAAAAUAUUUUAGUACGAAAGGACCAAUUAUUUAAUAUAAAAUAUUUAAAUUUUGAUUAUUAUU